UGAGAAGGCAACCAAAGUGCAGGACAUCAAAAACAACCUGAAAGAGGCGAUUGAAACCAUUGUGGCCGCCAUGAGCAACCUGGUGCCCCCCGUGGAGCUGGCCAACCCCGAGAACCAGUUCAGAGUGGACUACAUUCUGAGUGUGAUGAACGUGCCUGACUUUGACUUCCCUCCCGAAUUCUAUGAGCACGCCAAGGCUCUGUGGGAGGAUGAAGGAGUGCGUGCCUGCUACGAACGCUCCAACGAGUACCAGCUGAUUGACUGUGCCCAGUAAUGUGACUGCCAUCAUCUUCGUGGUGGCCAGCAGCAGCUACAACAUGGUCAUCCGGGAGGACAACCAGACCAACCGCCUGCAGGAGGCUCUGAACCUCUUCAAGAGCAUCUGGAACAACAGAUGGCUGCGCACCAUCUCUGUGAUUCUGUUCCUCAACAAGCAAGAUCUGCUCGCUGAGAAAGUCCUUGCUGGGAAAUCGAAGAUUGAGGACUACUUUCCAGAAUUUGCUCGCUACACUACUCCUGAGGAUGCUACUCCCGAGCCCGGAGAGGACCCACGCGUG
This 557-nucleotide small RNA is filed under the name Pongo abelii (Sumatran orangutan). Its description in RNAcentral is "processed transcript". Lineage: Eukaryota; Metazoa; Chordata; Mammalia; Primates; Hominidae. The record is from RNAcentral.